Molecule: ribosomal RNA, 616 nt
Filed under: uncultured Clavulinaceae
Lineage: Eukaryota; Fungi; Basidiomycota; Agaricomycetes; Cantharellales; Hydnaceae
Description: eukaryotic LSU rRNA
Rfam family: Eukaryotic large subunit ribosomal RNA
Source: RNAcentral
UUGACCUCGAAUCAGGUGGGACUACCCGCUGAACUUAAGCAUAUCAAUAAGCGGAGGAAAAGAAACUAACAAGGAUUCCCCUAGUAACGGCGAGUGAAGCGGGAAAAGCUCAAAUUUAAAAUCUGGCAGUCUUUGAUUGUCCGAAUUGUAAUCUAGAGAAGCGUUUUCCGUGCUGGACUGUGUACAAGUUUCCUGGAUACGGAACAUCAUAGAGGGUGAGAAUCCCGUCCUUGACACAGACUCCCAGUGCAUUGUGAUGCGCUCUCGACGAGUCGAGUUGUUUGGGAUUGCAGCUCAAAAUGGGAGGUAAAUUCCUUCUAAAGCUAAAUAUUGGCGAGAGACCGAUAGCGAACAAGUACCGUGAGGGAAAGAUGAAAAGCACUUUGGAAAGAGAGUUAAACAGUACGUGAAAUUGUUAAAAGGGAAACGCUUGAAGUCAGUCAUGUCUGCUUUGGAGUCAACCUUACUUCGGUUUGGUGCAUUUCCUCGCAGACAGGCCAGCGUCCAUGUUGUUCGUCAGAAAAGGGGUGAAGGAAUGUGGCUCCUUCGGGAGUGUUAUAGCUUUUGCUCGUAUGUGGGGAACAAUAUGGAGUGGUACAGCAUGCUUCGGUGGUGC